Molecule: ribosomal RNA, 241 nt
Filed under: uncultured Staphylococcus sp.
Lineage: Bacteria; Bacillati; Bacillota; Bacilli; Caryophanales; Staphylococcaceae
Description: partial 16S ribosomal RNA
Rfam family: Bacterial small subunit ribosomal RNA
Source: RNAcentral
CGGACGGGUGAGUAACACGUGGAUAACCUACCUAUAAGACUGGGAUAACUUCGGGAAACCGGAGCUAAUACCGGAUAAUAUUUUGAACCGCAUGGUUCAAAAGUGAAAGACGGUCUUGCUGUCACUUAUAGAUGGAUCCGCGCUGCGUUAGCUAGUUGGUAAGGUAACGGCUUACCAAGGCAACGAUGCAUAGCCGACCUGAGAGGGUGAUCGGCCACACUGGAACUGAGACACGGUCCAG